This 497-nucleotide ribosomal RNA is filed under the name uncultured bacterium. Its description in RNAcentral is "partial 16S ribosomal RNA". It matches the Rfam family "Bacterial small subunit ribosomal RNA", at positions 28 to 507 of the family's 1533-position model. The record is from RNAcentral.
GAUGAACGCUGGCGGCGUGCCUAAUACAUGCAAGUCGAGCGAACAGACGAGGAGCUUGCUCCUCUGACGUUAGCGGCGGACGGGUGAGUAACACGUGGAUAACCUACCUAUAAGACUGGGAUAACUUCGGGAAACCGGAGCUAAUACCGGAUAAUAUAUUGAACCGCAUGGUUCAAUAGUGAAAGACGGUUUUGCUGUCACUUAUAGAUGGAUCCGCGCCGCAUUAGCUAGUUGGUAAGGUAACGGCUUACCAAAGCAACGAUGCGUAGCCGACCUGAGAGGGUGAUCGGCCACACUGGAACUGAGACACGGUCCAGACUCCUACGGGAGGCAGCAGUAGGGAAUCUUCCGCAAUGGGCGAAAGCCUGACGGAGCAACGCCGCGUGAGUGAUGAACGUCUUCGGAUCGUAAAACUCUGUUAUUAGGGAAGAACAAAUGUGUAAGUAACUAUGCACGUCUUGACGGUACCUAAUCAGAAAGCCACGGCUAACUACGUG